GGUCAAGUUAUAAAGGGCUGACGGUGGAUACCUAGGUACACAGAGGCGAAGAAGGACGUGGUUACCUACGAAAAGUUCCGGGGAGUUGGAAGCAAGCAUUGAGCCGGAAAUAUCCGAAUGGGGCAACCCAAAAACGACAGGCUGAAUAUAUAGGCCUGCACGAGCGAACCCAGCCAACUGAAACAUCUUAGUAGCUGGAGGAAGAGAAAGCAAAAGCGAUUUCCAAUGUAGCGGUGAGCGAAAUGGAAACAGCCUAAACCAUGUGUAAUUACAUGUGGGGUAGUGGGACAACCAUUAGGAAUAGAAUAAAGUUAGAUGAAACAGCGGAAUACUGUACCAGAGAAGGUGAAAGUCCUGUAGUCAAAAACUAAAUUUGAUUCCGGUUGUAUCCCGAGUAGCAUGGGGCACGUGAAAUCCCGUGUGAAUCAGCGAGGACCACCUCGUAAGGCUAAAUACUCCUGUGUGACCGAUAGUGAACCAGUACCGCGAGGGAAAGGUGAAAAGAACCCCGGAAGGGGAGUGAAAUAGAAUAUGAAACCGUCAGCUUACAAGCAAUGGGAGCUCGAUUUAACGAGUGACCGUGUGCCUGUUGAAGCAUGAGCCGGCGAGUUAUAGGCUGUGGCUGGUUAAGACCAGAAAGGUUGAAGCCAAAGAGAAAGCGAGUCUGAAGAGGGCGUAAAGUCACAGUUUAUAGACCCGAACCCGGGUGAUCUAACCAUGUCCAGGAUGAAGCUUGGGUAACACCAAGUGAAGGUCCGAACCGACCGAUGUUGAAAAAUCGGCGGAUGAGGUGUGGUUAGGGGUGAAAUGCCAAUCGAACCCGGAGCUAGCUGGUUCUCCCCGAAAUGUGUUGAGGCGCAGCGGUAAGAGAAAAAGUCUGGGGGUAAAGCACUGUUUCGGUGCGGGCUGCGAGAGCGGUACCAAAUCGAGACAAACUCAGAAUACCAGAUGGAAAUCUUACCAGUGAGACGGUGGGGGAUAAGCUUCAUCGUCGAAAGGGAAACAGCCCAGACCACCAGCUAAGGUCCCCAAAUUAUCACUAAGUGAGAAAGGAGGUUGGAGUGCAUAGACAACCAGGAGGUUGGCUUAGAAGCAGCCACCCUUAAAAGAGUGCGUAAUAGCUCACUGGUCAAGGACUCUGGCGCCGAAAAUGAACGGGGCUAAGUGAUAUACCGAAGCUGUGGAAUACUAAAAGUAUUGGUAGGGGAGCGUUCCGUAUUAGUACGAAGCAGUAGCGAAAGCAGUUGUGGACGAAACGGAAGUGAGAAUGUCGGCUUGAGUAGCGAAAAUAUGUGUGAGAAUCACAUACCCCGAAACCCUAAGGGUUCCUCCGGACGGCUCGUCCGCGGAGGGUGAGUCAGGACCUAAGGCGAGGCCAAAAGGCGUAGUCGAUGGACAACGGGUAAAAAUUCCCGUACCGUAAAUAGUUGGUGCAGAGGGACGGAGAAGGCGUGAGCUAGCCGGAAGAUGGUUACCGGUGUAAGCGUUCAAGGUGUUGCGGAAUGGAGAAAACGUUCCAAGCUGAGGCGUGAGUCCGAGCACCUAAGGGUGCGAAGUAGUAUCUGUCAUGCUUCCUAGAAAAGCUCUAAACACCAUAAACUAUUAACGCCUGUACCCGAAACCGACACAGGUAGGGUAGUUGAGAAUACUAAGGGGCGCGAGAUAACUCUCUCUAAGGAACUCGGCAAAAUGGCCCCGUAACUUCGGGAGAAGGGGUACCAGCGAGAGCUGGUCGCAGUGAAGAGUCCCAGGCGACUGUUUACCAAAAACACAGGUCUCCGCAAAGUCGAAAGACGAAGUAUGGGGGCUGACGCCUGCCCAGUGCCGGAAGGUUAAGGAAGUCGGUCAGCGAAAGUGAAGCUGGCGACCGAAGCCCCGGUGAACGGCGGCCGUAACUAUAACGGUCCUAAGGUAGCGAAAUUCCUUGUCGGGUAAGUUCCGACCCGCACGAAAGGCGUAACGAUCUGGGAGCUGUCUCAGAGAGAGACUCGGCGAAAUAGAAAUGUCUGUGAAGAUACGGACUACCUGCACCCGGACAGAAAGACCCUAUGAAGCUUUACUGUAGCCUGGAAUUGUGUUCGGGCUUCUCUUGCGCAGGAUAGGUGGGAGGCGAUGAAUAGUCCCUUGUGGGGGUCUAGGAGCCAUCGGUGAGAUACCACUCUAGAGAGGCUAGAAUUCUAACUUAGAGCCGUAUCCGGCCUAAAGACAGUUUCAGGGGGGCAGUUUGACUGGGGCGGUCGCCUCCUAAAAGGUAACGGAGGCGCGCAAAGGUUCCCUCAGGCUAGUUGGAAAUUAGCCGAAGAGUGUAAAGGCAAAAGGGAGCUUGACUGUAAGAGAGACAACUCAAGCAGGGUGGAAACACGGCCUUAGUGAUCCGACGGUACUGAGUGGAAAGGCCGUCGCUCAACGGAUAAAAGUUACUCUAGGGAUAACAGGCUGAUCUCCCCCAAGAGUUCACAUCGACGGGGAGGUUUGGCACCUCGAUGUCGGCUCAUCGCAACCUGGGGCGGAAGUACGUCCCAAGGGUUGGGCUGUUCGCCCAUUAAAGCGGUACGUGAGCUGGGUUCAGAACGUCGUGAGACAGUUCGGUCCAUAUCCGGUGUAGGCGUAAGAGUAUUGAGAGGAGUCCUCCCUAGUACGAGAGGACCGGGAGGAACGCACCGCUAGUGUACCUGUUAUCGUGCCAACGGUAAACGCAGGGUAGCCAAGUGCGGAGUGGAUAACCGCUGAAAGCAUCUAAGUGGGAAGCCCACCUCAAGAUGAGUACUCUCACUACGUUAGGUAGGUAAGGUCACGGGAAGACGACCCGUUAAUAGGUGUUAGGUGGAAGUGCAGUAAUGUAUGGAGCCUAGACAUACUAACAGACCGAGGGCUUGACCUC
This is a non-coding RNA of Trichodesmium erythraeum IMS101, 2881 nucleotides long. Lineage: Bacteria; Bacillati; Cyanobacteriota; Cyanophyceae; Oscillatoriales; Microcoleaceae. The record is from Rfam.